GAAGAAUGUUCCACCAGUCAGGUGGGUCUUGGACUUCAGUAGCAUUAUUUCAGCAUACUAUUUUUAAUGAACAACACAUACACACGUAACAAUCUGUGUAACUCGCUUAUGCAUUUCUGUAUAAAAAUUGAAAAGAUAUGACCCUAACUUGUAAGACAAUAAGAGUCUUGGGUAAAAGUGCCAAAUGAUGUAACUUUCAAUUUUCCCCUUUUGAUUACUUAUGGUCUUGAUGCUCAGCAACUUUCCCUGUAUUGUGGUUGCUUACAAAGAGAGGGCUCAGUCACUCUGACCUGAAAAUCACUUUAGCUGCCCAGCUGGGCCAUCUUGGUCUGACUCGUGGGGUGGAAGAGCCUUUUGUACAGCAGCCUCCAUCCUGCCUGCCUGUAGCACAAAUGCUGUGGCCUGACAGGGAAAGCAGGGCAGGUACACGGGGCUUUCUCUUGGUGAGAUGGUGCAGGAAAAUCACUUCACUGCUGUUUGUGCUGUUCCUUGCCAGGCUGGCAAACUGCUUUUCUGUCCAGAGAUCAACCAGGGGGGCUGAUACUUUUUAUUUUGUUACUUGCACCAUGGGAGAACUUGUAUCAUCGAAAGACAAUUUCAUUUUGAGUCCACUGCUUGUGAGCACUGUUGAUC
Molecule: long non-coding RNA, 633 nt
Filed under: Gallus gallus (chicken)
Lineage: Eukaryota; Metazoa; Chordata; Aves; Galliformes; Phasianidae
Source: RNAcentral